AAAUCUAUGCGAAAAAAUGUGUAUAUAAAUAAAAUUUUUAUGAUUUUGAAAAUUUUUUUUUAAAUUUAUUUUACAUAUAAAUUUUAGUAUAUAAUUUUAAUUAUUUUAAUAAUAAUUAAUUUUUUAAGUAGUAAUUAACAUUAAAAAUUUAAGAAAUUAAGAUUUAGUAAUAUAAAAAUUAAUAACAAAUUUUGUGCCAGCAGUUGCGGUUAUACAAAAGUUAAAUUAAAUUUUAUUAGUUAUUAAUUAAUAAUUUAAAAUUAAUUAAAAUAUUAAAUUAUUAGGUGAAAUUUUAAUUUAAUUAAAAAUUUAAAAUUAAAAUAUGAUUUAAUAAAUUUUAUUAUAAACUAGGAUUAGAUACCCUAUUAUUAAAAAUUUAAAUAAAUUACUAAAAUAGUAAAUAAUUAUUUAUUGAAACUUAAAUAAUUUGGCGGUAUUUUAGUUCAUUUAGGGGAAUCUGUUUAUUAAUCGAUAAUCCACGAAUAAUUUUACUUAAUUAAAAAUUUUGUAUAUCGUUGUUAAAAAAAUAUUUUUAAAUAAAUUUAAUAUUUUAAAAUUUUAAAUAAAAAUUAAAUCAGAUCAAGAUGCAGAUUAUAAUUAAGAAUAUAAUGGAUUACAAUAAAUUUAUUUAUAUGGAUGAUUAAUUGAAAAAUUAAUUUAAAAGUGGACUUAAAUGUAAUUUUAUUUAAUUUAAUAAAAUGAUUAAAAAUUAAAAUAUGUACAUAUUGCCCGUCGCUUUCAUUAAUAAAUUGAAAUAAGUCGUAACAAAGUAGGGGUACUGGAAAGUGUUCCUAGAAAGAA
This 801-nucleotide non-coding RNA is filed under the name Matsumuraeses phaseoli. Lineage: Eukaryota; Metazoa; Arthropoda; Insecta; Lepidoptera; Tortricidae. The record is from RNAcentral.